AUCUUCAUAGUUGAAUACAACAAUAUCUUUUCGUGAUAUAAGUUUAGGUUUAAAUCCUAAUAAAGAUU
RNAcentral lists this transfer RNA (68 nucleotides) under Astrostephane moluccana. Its description in RNAcentral is "tRNA-Glu". It matches the Rfam family "tRNA". Rfam says of the family: Transfer RNA (tRNA) molecules are approximately 80 nucleotides in length. Their secondary structure includes four short double-helical elements and three loops (D, anti-codon, and T loops). Lineage: Eukaryota; Metazoa; Echinodermata; Asteroidea; Brisingida; Brisingidae. The record is from RNAcentral.